Non-coding RNA from Pelobates cultripes (western spadefoot toad), 298 nucleotides. NCBI's taxonomy places the organism in Eukaryota, Metazoa, Chordata, Amphibia, Anura, Pelobatidae. The record is from the annotation of a GenBank genome assembly.
CUCUUUUUUUUAUUUCAAACUGACAAAAGAGAUAAAAGACACAAUUUACAUAAUUACAUUUAUAAAGCUGAAAUAAUAAAAUAGUCAUCAUGAUAUUACAAGUUUGGCGUGAGAUCAAUGCAUGGGUCUUAAUUAAGCUUAUUUAAAAUGAGAAUGUUUGGACAAUUUCCAAGCACGCCAGCUCAUUUUCUUACAGAUUACAAUCACUGAAACUUCAUACACAUUGUGAAAGGAAAAAGGAGAAUAAGUGGUUUUGUCACUAAAUCAUAUCCUGAAAUUGGUAAACAAAGGAUAGCAG